CCUACGGGUGGCAGCAGUGGGGAAUAUUGGGCAAUGGACGAGACUCUGACCCAGCAAAGUAGCGUGAAUGAUGACUGCCCUCGGGGUUUUAAGCUUCUUUCAAAAGGGAAUAGAACGUGACGGUACCUUAGGAAUAAGCCUCGGCUAACUACGUGCCAGCAGCCGCGGUAAUACGUAGGUGGCGAGCGUUAUCCGGAUUUACUGGGUGUAAGGGGUGCGUAGGUGGGUUGGCAAGUUAGUAGCGUAAUUCCGCGGCUCAACCGUAGAACUGCAAUUGAAACUGUUGGUCUUGAGUACAGGAGAGGCAGCCGGAAUUCCUAGUGUAGCGGUGAAAUGCGUAGAUAUUAGGAGGAACACCAGUGGCGAAGGCGGGUUGCUAGACUGUAACUGACACUGAGGCACGAAAGCGUGGGGAGCAAACAGGAUUAGAUACCCUGGUAGUC
This 443-nucleotide ribosomal RNA is filed under the name uncultured bacterium. Its description in RNAcentral is "partial 16S ribosomal RNA". It matches the Rfam family "Bacterial small subunit ribosomal RNA", at positions 338 to 795 of the family's 1533-position model. The record is from RNAcentral.